UUUACAAUGGAGAGUUUGAUCCUGGCUCAGGAUGAACGCUAGCGGCAGGCUUAAUACAUGCAAGGCGAGGGGGCAGCAAUGUCACCGUCGUACGGGUGCGUAACGCGUAUGCAACCUACCUUCAA
RNAcentral lists this ribosomal RNA (125 nucleotides) under Dyadobacter psychrotolerans. RNAcentral describes it as "Dyadobacter sp. AR-3-6 partial 16S ribosomal RNA". It matches the Rfam family "Bacterial small subunit ribosomal RNA", at positions 1 to 135 of the family's 1533-position model. The record is from RNAcentral. Lineage: Bacteria; Pseudomonadati; Bacteroidota; Cytophagia; Cytophagales; Spirosomataceae.